This 447-nucleotide ribosomal RNA is filed under the name uncultured Allobrachymonas sp. Its description in RNAcentral is "bacterial SSU rRNA". It matches the Rfam family "Bacterial small subunit ribosomal RNA", at positions 929 to 1382 of the family's 1533-position model. Lineage: Bacteria; Pseudomonadati; Pseudomonadota; Betaproteobacteria; Burkholderiales; Comamonadaceae. The record is from RNAcentral.
GCGGUGGAUGAUGUGGUUUAAUUCGAUGCAACGCGAAAACCUUACCCACCUUUGACAUGGCAGGAAUCCUGAAGAGAUUGGGAGUGCUCGAAAGAGAACCUGCACACAGGUGCUGCAUGGCUGUCGUCAGCUCGUGUCGUGAGAUGUUGGGUUAAGUCCCGCAACGAGCGCAACCCUUGCCAUUAGUUGCUACGAAAGGGCACCCUAAUGGGACUGCCGGUGACAGACCGGAGGAAGGUGGGGAUGACGUCAAGUCCUCAUGGCCCUUAUAGGUGGGGCUACACACGUCAUACAAUGGCCGGUACAGAGGGUAGCCAACCCGCGAGGGGGAGCCAAUCCCACAAAGCCGGUCGUAGUCCGGAUCGCAGUCUGCAACUCGACUGCGUGAAGUCGGAAUCGCUAGUAAUCGCGGAUCAGCAUGUCGCGGUGAAUACGUUCCCGGGUCUU